Molecule: ribosomal RNA, 253 nt
Filed under: uncultured bacterium
Lineage: Bacteria
Description: partial 16S ribosomal RNA
Rfam family: Bacterial small subunit ribosomal RNA
Source: RNAcentral
UACGAAGGGUCCAAGCGUUAUCCGGAUUUAUUGGGUUUAAAGGGCUCGUAGGUGGCCAACUAAGUCAGACGUGAAAUCCCUCAGCUUAACUGGGGAACUGCGUCUGAUACUGGAUGGCUUGAGAUUGGGAGAGGGAUGCGGAAUUCCAGGUGUAGCGGUGAAAUGCGUAGAUAUCUGGAGGAACACCGGUGGCGAAGGCGGCAUCCUGGACCAACACUGACACUGAGGAGCGAAAGCCAGGGGAGCAAACGGG